CAACGAACCAUUAGAUUCUUGGACUGCCCACAGGACUGAAGCAGGACUACUUUACUAUUAUAAUGCUUCAACAGGAGAGUCGACUUAUAAGAAACCUGCCGGGGGAGAUGGAGAAGGUUCCCAUGCAGCCAACUCCAUUUUCAAUGGAGAAUUUGGCUGGUACUGACUGGGCCUUGAUCACAACAAAUGAUGGAAAAAAAUAUUACUACAACA
RNAcentral lists this unclassified non-coding RNA (213 nucleotides) under Hevea brasiliensis (rubber tree). The record is from RNAcentral. Lineage: Eukaryota; Viridiplantae; Streptophyta; Magnoliopsida; Malpighiales; Euphorbiaceae.